AGAGUGAACGCUGGCGGUAGGCCUAACACAUGCAAGUCGAACGGCAGCACAGUGGUAGCAAUACCAUGGGUGGCGAGUGGCGGACGGGUGAGGAAUACAUCGGAAUCUACCUUUUCGUGGGGGAUAACGUAGGGAAACUUACGCUAAUACCGCAUACGCCCUUUGGGGGAAAGCCGGGGAUCGCAAGACCUGGCGCGGAUAGAUGAGCCGAUGUCGGAUUAGCUAGUUGGUGAGGUAAUGGCUCACCAAGGCGACGAUCCGUAGCUGGUCUGAGAGGAUGAUCAGCCACACUGGAACUGAGACACCGGUCCAGACCUCCGUACGGGAGCAGCAGGUGGGG
This 340-nucleotide ribosomal RNA is filed under the name uncultured soil bacterium. RNAcentral's name for it is "bacterial SSU rRNA". It matches the Rfam family "Bacterial small subunit ribosomal RNA", at positions 26 to 359 of the family's 1533-position model. The record is from RNAcentral.